GAUGAACGCUGGCGGCGUGCCUAAUACAUGCAAGUCGAGCGAACAGACGAGGAGCUUGCUCCUCUGACGUUAGCGGCGGACGGGUGAUUAACACGUGGAUAACCUACCUCUAAGACUGGGAUAACUUCGGGAAACCGGAGCUAAUACCGGAUAAUAUAUUGAACCUCAUGGUUCAAUAGUGAAAUACGGUUUUGCUGUCACUUAUAGAUUGAUCCGCGCCGCAUUAGCUAGUUGGUAAGGUAACGGCUUACCAAGGCAACGAUGGGUAGCCCACCUGAGAGGGUGAUCGGCCACACGGGAAGUGAGACACGGUCCAGACACCUACGGGAGGCAGCAGUAGGGAAUCUUACGCAAUGGGCGAAAGCCGGACGGAGCAAAGCCGCGGGAGUGAUGAAGGUCUUAGGAUCGGAAAACUCUGUUAGUAGGGAAGAACAAAUGUGUAAGUAACUAUGCACGUCUUGACGGUACCUAAUCAGAAAGCCACGGCUAACUACGUG
RNAcentral lists this ribosomal RNA (497 nucleotides) under uncultured bacterium. RNAcentral's name for it is "partial 16S ribosomal RNA". It matches the Rfam family "Bacterial small subunit ribosomal RNA", at positions 28 to 507 of the family's 1533-position model. The record is from RNAcentral.